Molecule: non-coding RNA, 28 nt
Filed under: Bombyx mori (domestic silkworm)
Lineage: Eukaryota; Metazoa; Arthropoda; Insecta; Lepidoptera; Bombycidae
Source: RNAcentral
UCGAAACUGGAUGAAGUUGAGCUGCAGG